Molecule: long non-coding RNA, 1294 nt
Organism: Scophthalmus maximus (turbot)
Lineage: Eukaryota; Metazoa; Chordata; Actinopteri; Pleuronectiformes; Scophthalmidae
Exons: 2
Source: RefSeq, a predicted model, not a curated record
GCUGAAAAACAACAGACGACGACGUCACAACACUUUUCAUACUCAGAUCCUAACAUCAUCAUAAUUAUUAUUUAUCUUCAUCAGUCACUGAUCAUUGAUCUGAUCGAUGAAUCAUCAAAUGUCUCCAUGGCAACGCUGCAGGUCCACGUGACGUCAGAGACUCGAACGUCACGUGAUCCCUGCGUCAUGUUUACACUCAGCUGUAACGGAUCAUACAAGUCUGAACGUGCGACGAGAAACGUCAUCGUCAGUGACGCUCUACACGGCGCAGCACCAGAGAAGAAGAGCGAUACGUCACAGCUGAUCCUCCCGGUUGGCGCCACAACCGACAGUUUCGGCGCCAAACGAGCGCAACAGACAAAGACAACCUCCCGCUCUCUGACGUCACUGUAGACGGACUUGACGUGUCUCGGUGCGGGAGUUAAAACCCGGAAGCGCACAGCUGAUUCACUUACCGCAUCAGCGAAGAUUUUUCGCGCGGUUUUCGCCGCCAGGACGCGGGACUUGUUCAGACUCGGAGGCUGCGGAGACAAAAUGAGCGCAGCGCCAUGUUGUCGAUUUGACUGCACAGGGAGUUCUCGUUCCUGACGGACAGAGCCGAGCGAGCAGAAAGCAUCUUGACUGCAGCAGAAGAACCGACUGGAGCCGAACAGAAGAACCGACUGGAGCCGAGCAGAAGAACCGACUGAAGCCGAACAGAAGAACCGACUGGAGCCGAACAGAAGAACCGACUGAAGCCGAACAGAAGAACCGACUGGAGCCGAACAGAAGAACCGACUGGAGCCGAACAGAAGAACCGACUGGAGCCGAACAGAAGAACCGAGCGGUGACGACGAGCAGAUGGAGACUGAAGUCGCUUCGCGUCGCUUUCCCCUUUUUAUUGAAAUCUUGGCGCCUGAACGGAGCCGGCCAAUGAGAGCGCGGCUCGCGCCGGCCCUUUAAAGUGACGCUGCGACCAGAGCCAAUCGGGCUGCGAGGCGCGUUCACGUGACACCAGAAAUGCGUCUUUGUUCGUGCGGUUACAAAACCCGCAAUCAACCGGUUACAAAACGAAGAAAACUAUCGUUUAUGAAACAUUGAAUCUUUUGUUUGAACGUGACACGUCACAGCCGCGUCAUCACGUUCACGUGUAAACAGAAAGAACUCGUUUCAUUCGGAUUCGAAUCUCCACACGACUUAAACUGGGACGUCACUUGAAGAAACGUUCACAUAUUUUCUCUUCCCUCCAGCUGCUGGAUCAUAAAUACAUAAUAUAUCAUAUAAUAUCAAUAUCAAUAAACUGUCGGUGAUUUCA